Molecule: ribosomal RNA, 301 nt
Filed under: uncultured bacterium
Lineage: Bacteria
Description: partial 16S ribosomal RNA
Rfam family: Bacterial small subunit ribosomal RNA
Source: RNAcentral
CAGCAGCCGCGGUAAAACGAAGGGGGCUAGCGUUGCUCGGAAUCACUGGGCGUAAAGGGUGCGUAGGCGGGUCUUUAAGUCAGGGGUGAAAUCCUGGAGCCCAACUCCAGAACUGCCUUUGAUACUGAAGAUCUUGAGUUCGGGAGAGGUGAGUGGAACUGCGAGUGUAGAGGUGAAAUUCGUAGAUAUUCGCAAGAACACCAGUGGCGAAGGCGGCUCACUGGCCCGAUACUGACGCUGAGGCACGAAAGCGUGGGGAGCAAACAGGAUUAGAUACCCGCGUAGUCCCUGUCUCUUAUAC